Molecule: long non-coding RNA, 321 nt
Organism: Gossypium arboreum
Lineage: Eukaryota; Viridiplantae; Streptophyta; Magnoliopsida; Malvales; Malvaceae
Exons: 2
Source: RefSeq, a predicted model, not a curated record
GCCGGACGAGUAGUCUACAUUUUUUGCAUACUGAGUGUCGUCUAUUUAGCUCGUGGAUCAACGGUUGUCGGAGGCAUCGAUCACACUAUCAAUCGUAGCACUUGGUAUAAUUAGAUCUAUUUAUUUUGAUUAUGGCAUGUAUAGGACCCUGACUUUAAAAUUUUGUGUCUUUGUUAAUUGGCCAAAUGUGUUGGCGUGCUUUAGCAUUUUGAUUCAUUUUGUACAAGGUCAUGGAAAUGGCUAAAGUUGAAAGUUGUUAUAUGAAAACAAGAAGUUGUUUCAUGAAUGGGUAAUUUGUUGGUUGUUUUAGUAAAUAUGAAA